RNAcentral lists this transfer RNA (68 nucleotides) under Acetes chinensis (northern mauxia shrimp). RNAcentral's name for it is "tRNA-Ser". Lineage: Eukaryota; Metazoa; Arthropoda; Malacostraca; Decapoda; Sergestidae. The record is from RNAcentral.
GAAACAAGAAGAAUCAAGUAAAAGCUUCUAACUUAUUACUUAAGCGGUUUAACUCCGUUUUUGUUUCU